Molecule: long non-coding RNA, 1239 nt
Filed under: Ananas comosus (pineapple)
Lineage: Eukaryota; Viridiplantae; Streptophyta; Magnoliopsida; Poales; Bromeliaceae
Description: long non-coding RNA (ACOM_LNC014738)
Source: RNAcentral
UCGCAAGCCUCGAGCUAAGGUCUGCGCGGGCCGAGCUCGUCUGGGUUGCCCGCGGCUUGCUUGGGCGGCGCCGGCGGCGCGCGAGGACGGCGGGGAUGGCCGGUGCCGGCGCCGGAGAGGGAGAUAUCUUCCCAGGAAGCUUCCAAGAGGGUCUGUGGUCGCUUCCCCAGCAACUUCGGCAGAGAGGAGGAGAGGGUGGCCGAGAGGGGAGGAGAGGAAGAUGACCAUGAGUUUUCCGGCGGCCGGAGUUGCUCGCCGGAGGUCUGGGCACGAGCACAGGUAGGGCAGGGACCUACUGGGGCUAUCUAGGGCACGGUUGGGGAACUAGGUCGGCUAGAUCUAGGGUUCCUUGCAAAAGAACCCUAGAUGCACAUUGUAUGCAAUAUGCAAAUUGCACAAAAGUCCACCUGAACUACAAAUUUCAACCCUAGUCCUUCACAAUGGGUAACUCUCGCGCUUUUGCACCUCCACAAUCGAUCUCGCGCGAUUCGGUACAUAAAAUAUUACGACUUUUGCGAAUUUCCCGACUUUCCACUCUCGACCCCUUAGCGAACUUAUUGCAAUUCCCAAAGAUCCGUCCAUCGGAUUUCCGAUCAAAUCACCCCAACGCGUUUAGCACAUCGAGGCAUCGAAUCUAGCAUUUCGUUUCGUUAGAUUUGAUCUCCGAUUCACGACGAAAUCCAUUCUCUCUCCAAAAGGCCAAAAUGAUGCACAACUACAUAAGAAACAUGUAUUUUCAGAUUUUCUCGAAAACCGUGCAUCAUAUCUAAAAUCCGUCAGUGCCAUUGGUUCCAGAAUAGCUGAACCGUUCAAAACGAGCUAUUGGAUCGCUAUGAACGGAGUCCGAUACGCGCCGAAAGCCAGCUCUACUCCGUGGCUUCACCGAAAAAUCGGAGUUACUAUUCACUUAAGUGAAAACUAAUAAUCGCGUAACUUCUCCGUUUUAUCUCAGUUUCUCCUGAAACUUGACGAGUGCUUAUGUAAUUAAAUUACACACAUAAGCAUCGUCAACAGAGAGUUUAGUAGCACUGUAAAAAUUUCAGUCCUUAUAAGAUUUUGCUGAGGAGACGAGUUUAUCGUAAAAAUCUAAUUCGACGCUUCCGUUGCGAAAUCCCAAUAAUCGGUACCGGACCACAGCAGUCAAUAUCGAAGCGGGUUACAAAUUCUCAAGAUCCGGUACCAGGACGAGUACCGGAUUCCCAACAAUUUAGACGCACAAUAACAUUGCAAUUCGCUCAU